Molecule: ribosomal RNA, 628 nt
Filed under: Mortierella sp. 6763-R1
Lineage: Eukaryota; Fungi; Mortierellomycota; Mortierellomycetes; Mortierellales; Mortierellaceae
Description: eukaryotic LSU rRNA
Rfam family: Eukaryotic large subunit ribosomal RNA
Source: RNAcentral
AUUUAACAAUCUGGCUGGUUUACUAGUCCGAAUUGUAGUUUAUAGAAGCGUUUUCGGUGGCAGCCUGGGUAUAAAUCCUUUGGAAUAGGGUAUCAUAGAGGGUGAGAAUCCCGUCUUUGACUCAGUGCAUGCUACUAUGUGAUACGUUUUCAAAGAGUCGAGUUGUUUGGGAAUGCAGCUCAAAAUGGGUGGUAAAUUUCAUCUAAAGCUAAAUAUUGGCGAGAGACCGAUAGCGAACAAGUACCGUGAGGGAAAGAUGAAAAGAACUUUGAAAAGAGAGUUAAACAGUGCGUGAAAUUGUUGAAAGGGAAACGCUUGACACCAGUCAUGCGGGUGGAAAAUCAGUCUUUUGCAGUGGGGAGUUGUGGGCGUUCAGACCGCAAGGCUGGCGUUUGCUUGAUCUCUGCUGUAAGUGAUGCACUUUUUCAUUUGCAGGUCAACAUCAGUUUGCUUUGCUGGACAAAACCCCAAGGGAAGGUGGCAGCUUAGGCUGUGUUAUAGCCCUGGGGCGAUACAGUGGAGUGGACUGAGGUUUUCGCAGUGUGUGCUCUCUGGGCAAGGCUGACUGGGUGCUAUGGGAUCGUUCGGCGUACAAUGCAUGCAUUUUGCGUCGUGUCCUUUCUAUACU